ACAAACCUACAGUCAAGAGCGUCAACGUGUUCAGCCGAAGCCCCGCCCCCUGUUCAAUCUAUAGGCGGACCGGGCUUCAUAUAUAACGUGAAGGAACAUUGUGCGCACUCAGGUUUGUGGCACUUUCACCUCACGGCGGAUCGUAGCAUCAGGUUCACUCUUUGGCAUUACACAACCUACAGGAGAUUUGUUUUAAGCCGUGUCGUGCACAAAUAUCGCAGCGAUGAUCAUCAGACUCGGCAGACUGACUCCUGGAUACUUCCGUCUCCUGCAGAGGCAGGUAGCAGGUGAGGUUCAGGCCCCAACUCACGACCGCUCGGUCAACCAGAUCGCCAUGAUGCUGGCCAUCAUGGGCCUCAGCCUGUCCUACUACAGUGCCAAACAGAUGAUGGAGAAGGUUCGCCAUGAACCCGCCCCGUGAAGAUGUGCAUAUGUGCUCUGGAUCGACGGCAUCUGGAGGAGAUGAAGUCGAACUGAAGAUGUUCAGAUUCUGUCACAAUACCUUUCUAUAACCUCCAGGGAUCACACACCGCAGGACUUCCGCUUAGGGGUUCUCUUGCUUUAGUUUAGCUCUCAAUGGGAUCUGGAAGGGUUGACUUGAUACAUGCAUCAGAGAGUCAGUCAAUAGGUUGCUGUAGGCUCAAAACUCAAGCUCCACCAAUGCAUGAGCGAAUCCGGAGCGCAACUCUGAGCCAUAAUGUCUUUUAAAGGGAAGGACCUCUGUGUUUGAGAUGUACCAAGCAACUAUUGAAAGCAGGUCCAAUGCACAAGGGUGAAAUGCUCCAAUUUCCCCCCAAAAAGAUGCUAUUGGAGAACAUCAAAGCCUUGAGGACUUAUAGUUAAGGUGCUGCUAUACAAUACUACACUCGGUGUCAGACACUUUAGGAAAUUUACUACACAAAGAACAUUUGAGGACCUUAUGUUAAAGUGACU
Molecule: long non-coding RNA, 933 nt
Organism: Cyprinus carpio (common carp)
Lineage: Eukaryota; Metazoa; Chordata; Actinopteri; Cypriniformes; Cyprinidae
Exons: 3
Source: RefSeq, a predicted model, not a curated record